Molecule: long non-coding RNA, 3409 nt
Organism: Tyto alba (common barn owl)
Lineage: Eukaryota; Metazoa; Chordata; Aves; Strigiformes; Tytonidae
Exons: 3
Source: RefSeq, a predicted model, not a curated record
AGGAGCCGUCCCUCAUGGGAAGGGUUAACCGACCAGGACGCAAACCCCCACCACUCCCCUUCUAGAGGUAAAAACGAAGCUGGAUCCCCUGCUGUUGAAAUGUAAGCCAAGUUUAUGCGUAAGGACACCCCAAGCAAGCUCGGCCUGUCUCGGCCGGCAGAAGCGAUGGUGCGGAGGGACGCGCAGGAGCGGCGGCUGCGCUCAGAUGUCAUCGCAGCGUCAGCCCUCGAGUCCGCCCGGUCCCUCCUGUGAGACGUUUCAACCCUUCUCACAGGCUGCAUGCAGUCCACAGCUCUGAGAAGCCUAUUACGCCUUUCUGCGUCAGAUUGAUUUAAAUAUUAAUUGUAUGUGACCUGUUGACUUCAGCUCAUGCAGAAUCCACCCUGCAAUUAGUUUACUUAACCACUCUGUCUCCUGCAAUAGCUGUCAAGAAUAAUGGAUUGACCCUGAAUUUGAUCCUGAACAGAGAAACUUCACACUGGAACAAGUUUAUUAUUUCAUGUGCUUUUCAGAGUUCUUGAACUCGAUGUUAAGAUCUAAUCAAUUGAACAUCUGGGUUUCCUGGAGGCUGAGGCAGGAUCAUACAAUAUUUACAUCAAUAUUCUGAGAUCAAAGACGGCUACGAGUCCUGGAAAAAACCUCCAUGCAGAGGGAUAAAACGGAGCCGAGGAAAUCAGAGCUGAAAUCCGAGUCCUGCCCUGGCUUGGCCAGACAGAGCCUGGCGAGGGGAGGGCACGAAGGUCCCUGGGUGCCGCGGGGGACCACUGGCAUCAUCAAAAGGGCACGAGGGAGGCAGCGGUAUUUCCUUUCUUCAAAAAGAGCAGCUUCUCCUUUCCAGACGCCCCUGGAUGGAUUUCUGGUUUCUCACCAAAGCGGGGCGUCUCCACGCAGAGCUGUGCAGGGAUGGGACACCAGGACAGUGGCACCAGCUUCCCCCGUGUCGCCUUUUCGCCCGUGCCCUCCGUGUCCCGCAGGCAGGCGGAGCCGGCGUGGGCACAGCUCGGGGCCGGCACAAAGGCCACGGUAAGGAGGCAGGAGAAUUGUAAGUAGUUUAAAAACAUAAUUAAGACUUUGGACAACUUUCUUAUUACAGGUGGGAAUUCACAUUGAUAACGUUCUUCCUGGGCUGUUCUCAUGUGAAAGGAAUUGCUGUAGAAAAGCAGCUGAACAGCAUAUUAAAACAAAAUCCAUUCUCAUCAUCCCCUUUCACAUCCCAUCUCCCUUCUCAGGGCACUCCCUCCCCUCCCUUCACCUAUCAACAAACAAACAGCUUGGCACUAAUUACGUAGGACAAACAUUAAAUUCAGGAGCUGCGAUACCGGCGAGAUGGAUGGGCGGGAUGUUCGGCUGCACCUCGGCGUUGUGUCCCACCGCACGGGGCAGACACAGUCUGGGCUGAUUUACUCUAGAUUUGAGCUGGGAGUAAAUUGGAAGACAUGAAUCAUCUUGACGCAGAUGCUCCAGAGAUGGAUUACCUGGCUUGGUAGCCUGUUCUUCUCUUUCCACGGGCUUGCUUCCUUCUCUCCUUUCAGUGAAAAGUUUUGUUUCCCAGACACAGGAGGGUUUCUGCUCCGUGCCUGUGCUCCGGCAGGCCUGGGAGCCCCAGAGCCAGCAGGUACCUGUGCCCCCGGGCCAGCGAGCAGGCUGGCUGGGAGCUGGUGUCCCCUCCAAACCCCGGCCGGGGGCUCCCCCCUCUCAUCUGGCUCUGCCACACUGUCAGUCAUAAAUAGCUUUGGGCUGAAAUAGUGCUGCGGCUCUCACAUAAGAGGGUGUAAAGCGCUCAUGACGUCUUUCUGCCCAGGCAGAUCUGUGGGAUCAGCCAACCGCUGCUCAGCCCAUCCCUUCCCGAGUUCUUCCUCCUAGGAAUCGCAUCUCCUUUCAAGACACAGAGCUGAGAGCCACUACAGGCAAGGAGCAGGCUGCUGCCCCUCAUUAACAUGUGACUUUUGCCUUCUCCAUCGGUUGCUCUGUGGAAACCAGAGCUGGAAGCACAGUAAAUAAUGCUGCUCCAUAUUUUAUUCACCAGGCAGAGGGACUCUCUCCCACUGUGAUCUCUGCUGCUCUGGCAAAGGGCAGCACACCUGAGAUAAAUGCUUGACUCACUCACUUGAGUGAUGCUGUAAGGCAGGACUGACAGCCCCUGCUCUGGCCCAGCACGGCUGAAUCAGUGGCUAAAUACAUCCAGACACCUUGCCACCUUAAAGAAUUCAGCACUUCACCCCACAAAUAAUGUGCAAAACAGGCAAAUAAGCCCCAUCCCCAUUUUGCAGUGAUUGCAGCAAUCAGAGGCCAACUCAGACUUGCUCCCAGGGGCUGUAAAUCUUGAACUCUGCAGGCACAGCCCACAGGCUGAUAACGAGUGAUUAGCCUUAAUUCUCCCCUCUUCCUCUCUUUUAAGAGGGUUCAUCUGGAGCCCCCCCCGGGGCAUUACUAACCGCACCGCUGAUCACAGCCAAGCGGGAGCUGUGCAGCUGCUGGGGCAGUGCCUGGGGUGGGUGGCAGCAUUGCUGCCCUCCUGCUCAGCCACCUUCUUCCUCUCCACCCUUGGUUCCUUUUUGUCUCCAGCUUAACUUCUGUUGGAACUGAUUCUUUUUUCUUGGUGGGAGGGGGUUUGGGAGCAGAGGGAUACCUGGGGAAGGAAGCAGCACCUUCCUGGCGGGUGUCCAGGGGAGCCCUGCACACUGCCAGCCUGGGGCAGGUACGUUUGGGGAACCAGCCUCUCCCGCUGCUCGCAGCAGCCGAGCCCUGACUUAGGACGUCCUCCGCUCUCCCCUGAAACUGGUGUGCCUAGGUGUUGUCUUUGCCAUUCCCAGUGUUUCCACUUGGUCUAUGGGGGCUCUGAAGCCUGUCUGAGGAGCAUGAGGUAAGAUGCAGAUUUGUUUGCAUCUCUUUUUUUAAGAGGUGGUGAAUUUUCAAGAGCAGCCUUGCUUCCUCUCCUCCUCUCUGUGACUUUCUCUAGCUCCCUUUGAACAAAUCAUUUCUUUUGCAGAGUCCUGUUGUUUAAUUUUGCCAAGUCCUGAGUCUCAACCUCCUGUUAAUUGGUUUUGCCCAUCUUUGUGCAUUCCGUUAAAUGAGAAAAUGCCACACAUAAAAUUUUAAUUUUGAAAGCUGCCUUGUUUGUUUUAUAUUGAAAUUACCCACGCCGCUCCGGCCUGCAGAAAGAGACGCUUUCUCAUUUCAUUAAAAACUCUUUGUGAUGAUAAAAAGCGUCAGAAAUGAGAUAAAAAGUGGUGUUUCCUUAAAGGCACAUGAAAGUGAGAGAGAUAAAUCCUGUGUAUUGUAGGGGAUCAAAUCCAGCGUGCAGCUGUGGAGCGGCGAUACGGGCAGGCGGUGGGGCCGGCGGCGCGGCUCUGCCUCCUCUCCCAGGAUGGUUUGGCCUCCACCACCCACCCGCUGCUUCCAUCUGGGG